CCUACGGGUGGCAGCAGUGAGGAAUAUUGGUCAAUGGGCGCGAGCCUGAACCAGCCAAGCCGCGUGAGGGAAGACGGUUCUAUGGAUUGUAAACCUCUUUUGUCGGGGAGCAAAAGACGCCACGCGUGGCGCUCCGAGAGUACCCGAAGAACAAGCAUCGGCUAACUCCGUGCCAGCAGCCGCGGUAAUACGGAGGAUGCGAGCGUUAUCCGGAUUUAUUGGGUUUAAAGGGUGCUCAGGGGGAAGAUAAAGUCAGCGGUAAAAUUGAGAGGCUCAACCGCGUCGAGCCGUUGAUACUGGUUUUCUAGAGUGAGCGAGGGGUAUGCGGAAUGCGUGGGGUAGCAGUGAAAUGCGUAGAUAGCGCGCAGAACUCCGAUGGCGAAGGCAGGAUACCGGCGCUCAACUGACGCUGAUGCACGAAAGUGUGGGGAUCGAACGGGAUUAGAUACCCCAGUAGUC
This 459-nucleotide ribosomal RNA is filed under the name uncultured bacterium. RNAcentral's name for it is "partial 16S ribosomal RNA". It matches the Rfam family "Bacterial small subunit ribosomal RNA", at positions 338 to 795 of the family's 1533-position model. The record is from RNAcentral.